AGUGAACGCUGGCGGCGUGCUUAACACAUGCAAGUCGAACGAGAACGGAUUAUAGCUUGCUAUAAUUGUCAGCUAAGUGGCGCACGGGUGAGUAAUGUAUAGGUAAUAUGCCUCUUACUAAGGGAUAACAAAUGGAAACGUUUGCUAAUACCUUAUACUCCUUAUUAACAUAAGUUAAUAAGGGAAAGAUUUAUUGGUAAGAGAUUAGCCUGUAUUGUAUCAGUUAGUUGGUGGGGUAAUGGCUUACCAAGACUAUGACACAUAACUGGUUUGAGAGGAUGAUCAGUCACACUGGAACUGAGACACGGUCCAGCCUCCUACGGGAGGCAGCAGUGGGGAAUAUUGCACAAUGGACGAAAGUCUGAUGCAGCAACGCCGCGUGGAGGAUGACACAUUUCGGUGCGUAAACUCCUUUUAUAUGAGAAGAUAAUGACGGUAUUAUGUGAAUAAGCACCGGCUAACUCCGUGCCAGCAGCCGCCGUAA
RNAcentral lists this ribosomal RNA (484 nucleotides) under uncultured bacterium. Its description in RNAcentral is "partial 16S ribosomal RNA". It matches the Rfam family "Bacterial small subunit ribosomal RNA", at positions 29 to 523 of the family's 1533-position model. The record is from RNAcentral.